RNAcentral lists this ribosomal RNA (424 nucleotides) under uncultured prokaryote. RNAcentral's name for it is "bacterial SSU rRNA". It matches the Rfam family "Bacterial small subunit ribosomal RNA", at positions 355 to 796 of the family's 1533-position model. The record is from RNAcentral.
UGGGGAAUAUUGGACAAUGGGCGAAAGCCUGAUCCAGCCAUGCCGCGUGAGUGAAGAAGGCCUUAGGGUUGUAAAGCUCUUUCAGCGGGGAAGAUAAUGACGGUACCCGCAGAAGAAGCCCCGGCUAACUCCGUGCCAGCAGCCGCGGUAAUACGGAGGGGGCUAGCGUUGUUCGGAAUUACUGGGCGUAAAGCGCGCGUAGGCGGACUUUCAAGUCAGGGGUGAAAUCCCGGGGCUUAACCUCGGAACUGCCUUUGAUACUGUUGGUCUUGAGUCCGGGAGAGGUGAGCGGAAUUCCUAGUGUAGAGGUGAAAUUCGUAGAUAUUAGGAAGAACACCAGUGGCGAAGGCGGCUCACUGGCCCGGUACUGACGCUGAGGCGCGAAAGCGUGGGGAGCAAACAGGAUUAGAUACCCCCGUAGUCC